CAGCUUUCCACUUGCAGAGCUUGCUAUACAACGCUCUUCUGCUUUUGCCAACGGUAGCCGCAGUCGGAAGAGGAUGCCAGCCUGGGUUCCUGGGUAGGCAGCACAGUUCCAACAAUAUCAGUAGCUUCGUAAGCACCAAUACUCCUGGGCCCCGACUCCUGCCAUGUCUGGAACAUGGGCUCUUGGAUCCUGUACCAUCGGCGACAGUGUGAGCUCUUGGGAUCCUGAAAAAUACCAGAAGCCGUGCUAACUGCGGCAUGACGGUAGGAGAAACUGGCAUCCUCAGCAGCAUAGCUAUAUGAACGUGAGUCACACCAUUCUCCUGUUGUUCCUUUGGCUGAGGAAGUAGUGAGAGUGUCCUGCAGUUACUGAGAGUUGUCCUUCACCCA
Molecule: long non-coding RNA, 389 nt
Filed under: Fukomys damarensis (Damara mole-rat)
Lineage: Eukaryota; Metazoa; Chordata; Mammalia; Rodentia; Bathyergidae
Description: lncRNA (ENSFDAG00000029290.1)
Source: RNAcentral